CCUACGGGAGGCAGCAGUGGGGAAUUUUGGACAAUGGGCGCAAGCCUGAUCCAGCAAUGCCGCGUGAGUGAAGAAGGCCUUCGGGUUGUAAAGCUCUUUUGUCAGGGAAGAAACGGUCUACUCUAAUACAGUGGGCUAAUGACGGUACCUGAAGAAUAAGCACCGGCUAACUACGUGCCAGCAGCCGCGGUAAUACGUAGGGUGCAAGCGUUAAUCGGAAUUACUGGGCGUAAAGCGUGCGCAGGCGGUUAUAUAAGUCAGAUGUGAAAUCCCCGGGCUCAACCUGGGAACUGCAUUUGAGACUGUAUGGCUAGAGUGUGUCAGAGGGGGGUAGAAUUCCACGUGUAGCAGUGAAAUGCGUAGAUAUGUGGAGGAAUACCGAUGGCGAAGGCAGCCCCCUGGGAUAACACUGACGCUCAUGCACGAAAGCGUGGGGAGCAAACAGGAUUAGAUACCCUGGUAGUCCACGCCCUAAACGAUGUCUACUAGUUGUCGGGACUUAAUUGUCUUGGUAACGCAGCUAACGCGUGAAGUGACCGCCUGGGGGNGGUACGGUCGCGAGAAGUUAAACGUAACGAAAGAAAGUUAGACGGCGUGAGACGUAGACCGACGGACGACGACGAGGGGAGGAGG
Molecule: ribosomal RNA, 633 nt
Filed under: uncultured bacterium
Lineage: Bacteria
Description: bacterial SSU rRNA
Rfam family: Bacterial small subunit ribosomal RNA (bases 1-541)
Source: RNAcentral